GGCUAACGCGUGAAGGCGAGCACUCUAGACGAACUGCCGUUGACAAAACGGAGGAAGGUGGGGAUGACGUCAAAUCAUCAUGCCCCUUAUGUUCUGGGCUACACACGUGCUACAAUGGCCGGUACAGACGGACGCAAAGCCGCGAGGUGGAGCAAAUCCUAAAAAGCCGGUCUCAGUUCGGAUUGCAGGCUGCAAUUCGCCUGCAUGAAGUCGGAAUCGCUAGUAAUCGCAGGUCAGCAUACUGCGGUGAAUACGUUCCCGGGCCUU
Molecule: ribosomal RNA, 267 nt
Filed under: uncultured Bacillus sp.
Lineage: Bacteria; Bacillati; Bacillota; Bacilli; Caryophanales; Bacillaceae
Description: partial 16S ribosomal RNA
Rfam family: Bacterial small subunit ribosomal RNA
Source: RNAcentral